ACUCCUACGGGAGGCAGCAGUGGGGAAUAUUGCACAAUGGGCGCAAGCCUGAUGCAGCCAUGCCGCGUGUGUGAAGAAGGCCUUCGGGUUGUAAAGCACUUUCAGUCGUGAGGAAGGUAGUGUAGUUAAUAGCUGCAUUAUUUGACGUUAGCGACAGAAGAAGCACCGGCUAACUCCGUGCCAGCAGCCGCGGUAAUACGGAGGGUGCGAGCGUUAAUCGGAAUUACUGGGCGUAAAGCGCAUGCAGGUGGUUUGUUAAGUCAGAUGUGAAAGCCCGGGGCUCAACCUCGGAAUAGCAUUUGAAACUGGCAGACUAGAGUACUGUAGAGGGGGUAGAAUUUCAGGUGUAGCGGUGAAAUGCGUAGAGAUCUGAAGGAAUACCGGUGGCGAAGGCGGCCCCUGGACAGAUACUGACACUCAGAUGCGAAAGCGUGGGAGC
RNAcentral lists this ribosomal RNA (439 nucleotides) under uncultured bacterium. RNAcentral's name for it is "bacterial SSU rRNA". It matches the Rfam family "Bacterial small subunit ribosomal RNA", at positions 335 to 769 of the family's 1533-position model. The record is from RNAcentral.